GGUCCCGUAGCUCAGAUGGAUAGAGCAGCAGCCUUCUAAGCUGUUGGUCGCUGGUUCGAGUCCAGCCGGGAUCGCCA
RNAcentral lists this transfer RNA (77 nucleotides) under Devosia rhizoryzae. RNAcentral's name for it is "Devosia sp. LEGU1 tRNA-Arg". It matches the Rfam family "tRNA". Rfam says of the family: Transfer RNA (tRNA) molecules are approximately 80 nucleotides in length. Their secondary structure includes four short double-helical elements and three loops (D, anti-codon, and T loops). Further hydrogen bonds mediate the characteristic L-shaped molecular structure. tRNAs have two regions of fundamental functional importance: the anti-codon, which is responsible for specific mRNA codon recognition, and the 3' end, to which the tRNAs corresponding amino acid is attached (by aminoacyl-tRNA synthetases). tRNAs cope with the degeneracy of the genetic code in two manners: having more than one tRNA (with a specific anti-codon) for a particular amino acid; and 'wobble' base-pairing, i.e. permitting non-standard base-pairing at the 3rd anti-codon position. The record is from RNAcentral. Lineage: Bacteria; Pseudomonadati; Pseudomonadota; Alphaproteobacteria; Hyphomicrobiales; Devosiaceae.